CUACUUUGCAGAGUAGGUAUUACAAUGGUAAAAACCUUCCCUUCAUGGCUUCAGUUGAAGUAUAUAAAUGUGACUCUUCAAUCCUGAAUCACCAAUUCGCUAGCGUAGUCUACAACAACUUCAGUCUGCAGAGGCUAAAUUCCACUUCGUAGAGCAUAACGUUUUCCCCAUUCAUGUGUAAUAAACUCAUCUUAUACUUGGUGUUCUAUUCAUAAUUCUAUAAAAUAAGUAUCUGAUUGCUUGCAAUUUGUGUUUAUUGUCAUCCAAUUCCUCGACAAUGACAGUGUACAAGAAAGUCCUAUUUUCGUCAGCAAAAUUAAUUCUUUGAUUCAACGUUCUUUCUUCUCUUUUGCCUGUAAAUAACUCCAGUAGAAGCAUUCCAAAAUUGGAAACAUCAUCAAGCCUGGAAACCUCACCGCCUGAAAAGUACUUUGCAAAUCAUAUAAACCAAUUUUAAGUAACAUUUUUCUAUGUAAUUAGGGCAUUAGAAAAUGUUAGUUGAAGCUAUA
RNAcentral lists this long non-coding RNA (509 nucleotides) under Olea europaea subsp. europaea. Lineage: Eukaryota; Viridiplantae; Streptophyta; Magnoliopsida; Lamiales; Oleaceae. The record is from RNAcentral.